AGGGUUUGAUUAUGGCUCAGGACGAACGCUGGCGGCGCGCCUAACACAUGCAAGUCGAACGGAGCAAUUUUGAAGGAAGCCUUCGGGCGGAAUUUGGCUUUGCUUAGUGGCGAACGGGUGAGUAACACGUGAGCAACCUGCCUUACAGAGGGGAAUAACACAGGGAAACUUGUGCUAAUACCGCAUAACAUGGGGAGACGGCAUCGUUUUUUCAUCAAAGAUUUAUCGCUGUAAGAUGGGCUCGCGUCCGAUUAGGUAGUUGGUGAGGUAACGGCCCACCAAGCCGACGAUCGGUAGCCGGACUGAGAGGUCGAUCGGCCACAUUGGGACUGAGACACGGCCCAG
This 345-nucleotide ribosomal RNA is filed under the name uncultured bacterium. RNAcentral's name for it is "bacterial SSU rRNA". It matches the Rfam family "Bacterial small subunit ribosomal RNA", at positions 8 to 334 of the family's 1533-position model. The record is from RNAcentral.